This 406-nucleotide ribosomal RNA is filed under the name uncultured bacterium. Its description in RNAcentral is "partial 16S ribosomal RNA". It matches the Rfam family "Bacterial small subunit ribosomal RNA", at positions 29 to 526 of the family's 1533-position model. The record is from RNAcentral.
AUUGAACGCUGGCGGCAAGCCUAACACAUGCAAGUCGAACGAGUGGCGGACGGGUGAGUAAUGUCUGGGAAACUGCCUGAUGGAGGGGGAUAACUACUGGAAACGGUAGCUAAUACCGCAUACCAUCGGAUGUGCCCAGAUGGGAUUAGCUAGUAGGUGGGGUAACGGCUCACCUAGGCGACGAUCCCUAGCUGGUCUGAGAGGAUGACCAGCGACACUGGAACGGAGAUCCGGUCCGGACGCCUAGGGGAGGCAGCAGUGGGGAAUGUUGCACAAUGGGCGAAAGCCUGAGGCAGCCAUGGCGCGUGUAUGAAGAAGGCCGUCGGGUUGUAAAGUACUUUCAGCGGGGAGGCGUUACCCGCAGAAGAAGCACCGGCUAACUCCGUGCCAGCAGCCGCGGUAAUAC